RNAcentral lists this ribosomal RNA (347 nucleotides) under uncultured bacterium. Its description in RNAcentral is "partial 16S ribosomal RNA". It matches the Rfam family "Bacterial small subunit ribosomal RNA", at positions 338 to 696 of the family's 1533-position model. The record is from RNAcentral.
CCUACGGGUGGCUGCAGUCGAGAAUCAUUCACAAUGGGGGAAACCCUGAUGGUGCGACGCCGCGUGGGGGAAUGAAGGUCUUCGGAUUGUAAACCCCUGUCAUGUGGGAGCAAAUUAAAAAGAUAGUACCACAAGAGGAAGAGACGGCUAACUCUGUGCCAGCAGCCGCGGUAAUACAGAGGUCUCAAGCGUUGUUCGGAAUCACUGGGCGUAAAGCGUGCGUAGGCUGUUUCGUAAGUCGUGUGUGAAAGGCGCGGGCUCAACCCGCGGACGGCACAUGAUACUGCGGGACUAGAGGAAUGGGGUGGUCAGGGGAAUUCGGGGGGUAGAGGGGAAAUGCGUAGAUA